RNAcentral lists this ribosomal RNA (468 nucleotides) under uncultured bacterium. RNAcentral's name for it is "partial 16S ribosomal RNA". It matches the Rfam family "Bacterial small subunit ribosomal RNA", at positions 28 to 507 of the family's 1533-position model. The record is from RNAcentral.
GACGAACGCUGGCGGCGUGCUUAACACAUGCAAGUCGAACGGAAAGGCCCUGCUUUUGUGGGGUGCUCGAGUGGCGAACGGGUGAGUAACACGUGAGUAACCUGCCCUUGACUUUGGGAUAACCUCAGGAAACUGGGGCUAAUACCGGAAAGGAGCUCCUGCCGCAUGGUGGGGGUUGGAAAGUUUCGGCGGUUGGGGAUGGACUCGCGGCUUAUCAGCUUGUUGGUGGGGUAGUGGCUUACCAAGGCCUUGCCAGGUAGCCGGCCUGAGAGGGUGACCGGCCACAUUGGGACUGAGAUACGGCACAGACUCCUACGGGAGGCAGCAGUGGGGAAUAUUGCACAGUGGGCGGGGGCCUGGUGCAACAACGCCGCGUGCGGGAUGACGGCCUUCGGGUUGUAAACCGCUUUCGCCUGUGACGAAGCGUGAGUGACGGUAAUGGGUAAAGAAGCACCGGCUAACUACGUG